This is a long non-coding RNA of Dreissena polymorpha, 2127 nucleotides long. RefSeq lists it as uncharacterized. The record is from RefSeq and is a predicted model, not a curated record. Lineage: Eukaryota; Metazoa; Mollusca; Bivalvia; Myida; Dreissenidae. The transcript is spliced from 3 exons.
CAUUGUGUUUCACAAACAUUGUUCUUACUUUUUCUAAAUCAGUUUCAUGGACACGAAAAUUGGUGGAUUUCUGAUUUUGGAAUAAAGAGUAAUUUGCUUUGGUCAUUGUCUGAUGUGUUUGUGUUAAUCUUGUGGAUCGGUCAACCCACACAAUUGACGAAAACAAAUGUCCCAUGUAAAUAAAUAAUUGAAGACAUUUUACAUAAUAAUAUAAUACUUGAAACCUCAUCAGCAAACGCUUCUCGUAUUAGCCAUGUCAAAGAAUCGCAUCCUGAUUAUUUAUGUUUAAGGUUGCAGACUUUAUGAGUUGUUUGACAGGGAGACCGGAUCAGCCCAGCCUGUCAGGGUGAGAUAGCAGUUACAUCCUGGAAUGAAGCGACAGAAAUCAGACAGAAAGAAAGGAAAGUACAUGAAUGUCCCAGCCUACAGAUCUGGUCAUUAUGCUCUCAUUGACACCCUCUACAAAGAUAUUCAGGCUAACACCUCAGUUGCAGAUGUACAGCACAGUACGUCUCUCAGCAGACACAAGUUUCUAUGCUUGACACUACUGCCAGUUGACUGAAAGCACAAGCUUCUCCCAUUCAACAAGUCUACGCACAAGCACGUGUUUUCAAGAUUAGGGACAUUUAAUCCCUACUUUCAGUCUAGGAGGACGCAGCUUAUUUUUAAUAUUUCCUUUCCUGACAGCAAAACCAGUGGGGAACUAGUGUUGAUACCUUUUCAAUAUUGAAAAAAAAACUUGGAUUUACUGAAGGACGAUUUCAAACCUGGUGGGCAAAGACUGUCGGGCGCAGCAGGCCCAUAGGGGUUCAAGAAUAUUAUAUCUAAGCAGUUCCUUGGUGUACACAAGAAGAAUGUGCCAUUGAGUUAACAGAUUCACACUGCAUUACGGGCACGGGUAAAGAAAAACAUGUGCUUGCCGAAACAUACACAUUACACAAUUUAAGUGAAAUUUUGAAUGGAAUGUUUCUUCUUUUUUAUGCUCCCCUUCUAAGAAGAGGGGGUAUAUUGUUUUGCUGGAUGUCAGUCUGUCUGACUGUAGACUAGUUCGUUUCCGAUCAAUAAGUCUUAAAGGAAUUGACUAAUUGGCUUGAUACUUAACAUGUACAUUGGCCUUGGACAGUAGAUGACCUCUAUUAAAAUAAGGGUCACUAGGUCGUAGGUCACUCACAAUAAGUGUGAAAAUCAUUUCCGAUCAAUAGCUUGUCAACGAAUUGACCGAUUGGCUUAUUACUUACCAUGUGCAUUUGCCUUGAACAGUAGAUGAUCCUUAUUGAAAUUGUGGUCACUAGGUCAACGGUCAAAGGUAACUGUCACAGUAAGUAUGAAAAUCUUUUCCGAUCAAUAACUUGUCAAGCCGGGAAUAUAAAUUGACCGAUUCUGUCUCCGACCGCAGAACUCAUACAUUUCCAAAUCAUAGGUAUUAAUGCUGUAGCACGUAAUUGAUUUCUCACUGUCUAAGCAUGUUUAUUAAUUUGUAAGUACUGAUGAUAAAUUAAAACUGUGGAAAAACAUCAGUUGCUAUAUAUUUUGGGCAUAAACAUCAUGUAUAUGUUUUUUGUCUAAUGAUUGAUUUAAAGGGACAUUGUCACAGACAUAAGCAUGUUUUAAAGUUUGUCAUUAAAUGCUUCAAAUUUAUAAUUGUAUACUAUGGAAAUAAAUAUCUCCAGUAUGAAACUAGACAAAAAACACAAAAUCCUCAACUGGGCUCGAACCACAGACCCUUAGAGUAAGACUAAUGCUCAAACCACUCGUCUAUCAGUGCUCACAUAGUAUUUUGUGUAUUUUAGCUCACCUGAGCACAAUGUGCUCAUGGUGAGCUUUUGUGAUUGCUGUUUGUCCGUUGUGCGGCUUCAGCAUUUGCCUUGUAAACAAAAGAGAGGCCACAUUUCUUGUCCGAUCUUCAUAAAAUUUGGACAGAAGAUUUGUGCCAAUGAUAUCUUGGAUGUGUUCGAAAAUUGUUCGGGUUGGUUGAAAAACAUGGCCACCAGAGUGAGAUGCAUGUUUCCUUAUUUGGCUAUCGUAAAACCUUUUAAGCACUCUUAGACCACAGGUAUUUUCAGAUCUUCAUGAAACUUGGUCAGAAGAUUUGUCCCUAUGAUAUUUUGGACGAGUUUAAAAAUGGUU